Molecule: long non-coding RNA, 1445 nt
Organism: Raphanus sativus (radish)
Lineage: Eukaryota; Viridiplantae; Streptophyta; Magnoliopsida; Brassicales; Brassicaceae
Exons: 3
Source: RefSeq, a predicted model, not a curated record
UUUUGCAGUUCGUCACGUUGCUGGGAUUUAAGGGUGGAGGUUAGUGGAUUCGAAUUUUAAAGAGGAUUUGGAGAAGAUUUUGAGUGUUGGAAAUCGUAAGUGGAAGUUGGUGGAUCGGCAGCAUAUUGCUCGUAAUUUUGCACGUAUUGAUUCAGAUCCUCGUCUGAAAAGAAUGGGAAAGGUUGAUUUACAGUUUUCGGAUUACUAUGGUUCUCGGUAUGGUGGCGCUUCUGGUGAAAUAAUCAGUCAUGAUAAGGAGGCAGGCCUGGCUUAUGGGGUGUUCCCAAGGUGCAUUUGCACAAGUAAAACCUUGAGUCGGGCCUGUAAGGAGGUAACGCUUCUGUUUGGAUGGUGGCAUUGGUCCGACGAUGUCCAUCGCCCAUCUCAUGAAAGGAUAUGGCAGUGUGGUAGUUGUGAGCAGCUCUGUUGGUAAGUGAAUCAUCGGGGCAUGUCGUUGGCAUUUUUCGCAUCUCGUGACGAAAUUUUCGCAAUCUGCCACCAUUGUCGGCCAAAAAUGCCCAUGUCGCUUGAUUUUUAUGGCUAAGGCUCGUCCUCCUGAAUGAUUGCCGCCUGCUCCUUCGUGUGUUUCUUCUAGGACCAUUUGACUUCUUGGCUGUGUAUGCAUCGCAAGAGUGCUUUAGUCGUGCUCCACCUGAAAAGGUUGUUGUCGUGCAAGACGUAGUGUGCGCAUCGGGCUUUCAGUCAUCGGGCGGCCCAACGGUUGGUUGGCGCUUUUCCUUCGGUGAUGUAGAGUUUAAUUUCGUCACGCCAGUCUACCGGAUCUGCGACCUCUUCUUCAGGUGCUGGUUCGUUGAUGUCUUCCAUGUCCUCACCGAGAUCGUAGAUGAUGUUGACUCCCAUAGCUAGCUUGAUACUUGGUUGGUCGAUGCUUUCUACUGGGAUCAUUCUCUUUAGUGACGGAUCCGAAGUCGAUGCUAGAGUGGCAAGAGCGUCAGCAGUGGAGUUAUCGCUUCGAGGUAUCCCAACGGUGGGCGUCAAUUGUUAUUUCCAUAUCCUGUCAACGAGGUGGUAUAGUAAAAGAAGUAAAGGAGGUGGAGAUUUUCAUAUUAAUAGUCAAGAAUAACAAGCUUGGAAAUUACAAGAACUUAAAGAGAUCGUCUAAAUGAAUUCUCUUUACAAAUGUUUCUAGUCGCCGGAGACGAGCUCGUUCUGGUGAGAAGAGGUCGUCUCGGAAUUUUAGUGGUGGCAUUUUCCGAUGGUCGUCGAAGAUGAGCUCGCUCAGGUGAAGAGAGGUAGCUGUCUCAAACUUCUGGUGGUCUCUGACGUUUUUCAGUCUAUCUUUUUGUGGCUCUGACAUCUCCUUUUAUAGUGAAAGUACAUGUUUGUCUGCUUGUGGAGUCAUCAAUUGGUUAAUGGGGCGGGCCUGAUUUUGGGCCUAGCAUAGUAAUGAGCUUUGUGCUAGGUUCAUAUCCAACAUCGUAUCU